AAAGAGUGCGUAAUAGCUCACUAGUCGAGUGACACUGCGCCGAAGAUGUACCGGGGCUAAGUACAAUACCGAAACUGCGGAUUCACAUUUAUAUGUGAGUGGUAGGGGAGCGUUCCAAGUUGAGUUGAAGGUAGACCGUGAGGACUGCUGGAUUACUUGGAAGUGAGAAUGCCGGUGUGAGUAGCGCAAGAUGGGUGAGAAUCCCAUCCACCGUUUGACUAAGGGUUCCUGGGGCAGGUUCGUCCGCCCAGGGUUAGUCGGGUCCUAAGACGAGGCCGAGAGGCGUAGCCGAUGGACAACAGGUUGAUAUUCCUGUACUACCUAUAAGACUGAUGGAGUGACGGAGAAGGUUAGGAAAAGCCAGUUAUUGGAUUCUGGUCUAAGCACAAAGGCUUAUAAAUUAGGAAAUCUGUUUAUAAUUAAGCUGAAGUGUGAUGGUGAAGUCGCUUGCGACGAAAUUUUCUGACACCAUGCUUCCAAGAAAAGCUUCUAGGGUUAAUCUUAUAGGUACCCGUACUCAGAAUCGACACAGGUGGUCAAGGAGAGUAUCCUAAGGUGAGCGAGAGAACUAUGGUUAAGGAACUCGGCAAAAUAACCCCGUAACUUCGGGAGAAGGGGUGGUCACUAGAUGACCGACACUAAAGACGCCCAGGCAACUGUUUACCAAAAACACAGGUCUCUGCUAAGUCGUAAGACGAUGUAUAGGGGCUGACACCUGCCCAGUGCUGGAAGGUUAAGAGGAGUGCUUAGAUAGACGCAAGUCGAUUAUUCGAAGGUACGAAUUGAAGCCCCAGUGAACGGCGGCCGUAACUAUAACGGUCCUAAGGUAGCGAAAUUCCUUGUCAGGUAAGUUCUGACCCGCACGAAAGGCGUAAUGAUCUGGGCACUGUCUCAACCAUAGACUCGGUGAAAUCUUAAUACCUGUGAAAAUGCAGGUUACCCGCAACAGGACGGAAAGACCCCAUGGAGCUUUACUGUAGCUUGAUAUUGAAGUUCGGUAUAUUAUGUAGAGAAUAGGUGGGAGACUAUGAAGUUAGGACGCUAGUUCUAAUGGAGUCACCUUUGGAAUACCACCCUUAAUGUAUUGAAUUUCUAACCUCGAUCCAUUAUCUGGAUCAGGGACAGUGUCUGGUGGGCAGUUUGACUGGGGCGGUCGCCUCC
Molecule: ribosomal RNA, 1161 nt
Filed under: gut metagenome
Description: bacterial LSU rRNA
Rfam family: Bacterial large subunit ribosomal RNA
Source: RNAcentral